RNAcentral lists this transfer RNA (68 nucleotides) under Ovis aries (sheep). RNAcentral describes it as "tRNA-Tyr". It matches the Rfam family "tRNA". From Rfam's summary of the family: Transfer RNA (tRNA) molecules are approximately 80 nucleotides in length. Their secondary structure includes four short double-helical elements and three loops (D, anti-codon, and T loops). The record is from RNAcentral. Lineage: Eukaryota; Metazoa; Chordata; Mammalia; Artiodactyla; Bovidae.
GGUAAGAUGGCUGAGUAAAGCAAUAGACUGUAAAUCUAAGAACAGAGGUUUAAUUCCUCUUUUUACCA